RNAcentral lists this long non-coding RNA (304 nucleotides) under Anser brachyrhynchus (Pink-footed goose). RNAcentral's name for it is "lncRNA (ENSABRG00000016284.1)". The record is from RNAcentral. Lineage: Eukaryota; Metazoa; Chordata; Aves; Anseriformes; Anatidae.
UACCUUUUUUUUUUUUUUUCUGAUAUUUGUGCUCAUGAUCUAGUGUUGAAAGGCUGUCCAAACAGCACUUCCAGUCUCCAUUUUUAGAGGAAACUAUUUUCGAUUUUGAGUAAUUACUUGGAAAACAAGUUCUUGCAUACAUGUUCCUGUGAAAAUUUUCCACAAUAGUAAGCAGACCUGGAGAAAACUGUGAAAGAGUAAUACAAGCAUGGCAAGGACUGAAGUCAGGAGGCAAAGGAAGAAAACCUGAGUAGAUCUACCUUAAAAGCUGUUACAGGUUAGUUUGUAAUUUCCACAAUGAUGC